Molecule: ribosomal RNA, 402 nt
Filed under: uncultured bacterium
Lineage: Bacteria
Description: bacterial SSU rRNA
Rfam family: Bacterial small subunit ribosomal RNA
Source: RNAcentral
UGGGGAAUAUUGCACAAUGGGCGAAAGCCUGAUGCAGCAACGCCGCGUGAGUGAUGAAGGCCUUCGGGUUGUAAAGCUCUGUCUUCUGGGACGAUAAUGACGGUACCAGAGGAGGAAGCCACGGCUAACUACGUGCCAGCAGCCGCGGUAAUACGUAGGUGGCAAGCGUUGUCCGGAUUUACUGGGCGUAAAGGAUGCGUAGGCGGAUACUUAAGUCAGAUGUGAAAAUCCCGGGCUUAACCUGGGAACUGCAUUUGAAACUGGGUAUCUAGAGUGCGGGAGAGGAAAGUGGAAUUCCGAGUGUAGCGGUGAAAUGCGUAGAGAUUAGGAAGAACACCAGUGGCGAAGGCGACUUUCUGGACCGUAACUGACGCUGAGGCAUGAAAGCGUGGGGAGCAAACA